CCUACGGGAGACAGCAGUGGGGGAUAUUGCACAAUGGCCGGAACCCUGAUGCAGCGACGCCGCGUGGAUGAAGAAGCGCCUAGGCGCGGUAAGCCCUGUCAGCAGGGAAGAAAAUGACGGUACCUGAAGAAGUAGCCCCGUCUAACUACGUUCCAGCUGCCGCGGUAAUACGGAGGGGGCAAGCGUUAUCCGGAUUUACUGGGUUUAAAGGGUGCGCAGACGGUGUUUCAAGCCAGGAGUGAAAGUUCGGGGCCCAACCCCGGGACUGCUGGUGGAACUGGGUGGCUGGAGUGCAGGCGGGGCAGGCGGAAUUCGUGGUGUAGCGGUGAAAUGCGUAGAUAUCAGGAGGAACACCGGUGGCGAAGGCGGCCUGCUGGACUGCAACUGACGUUGAGGCCCGAAAGCGUGGGGAGCAAACAGGAUUAGAUACCCGUGUAGUC
This 440-nucleotide ribosomal RNA is filed under the name uncultured bacterium. RNAcentral describes it as "partial 16S ribosomal RNA". It matches the Rfam family "Bacterial small subunit ribosomal RNA", at positions 338 to 795 of the family's 1533-position model. The record is from RNAcentral.